AAAGAUCGAUACCGAGGGGGGCUGACGCCCCGGAGAAUCCACUGCUCACGCAGGCAGCCUGUACCGCGUACAGUCUGAAACUCCCUAUACCUCAACAAACUGCCACUCCGGCGUGAAGGUAUCGUUCU
Molecule: non-coding RNA, 128 nt
Filed under: Salmonella enterica subsp. enterica serovar Kentucky str. ATCC 9263
Lineage: Bacteria; Pseudomonadati; Pseudomonadota; Gammaproteobacteria; Enterobacterales; Enterobacteriaceae
Description: EFASI RNA
Rfam family: EFASI RNA
Source: Rfam by way of RNAcentral